This is an RNA transcript of Camellia sinensis, 2391 nucleotides long. It is a transcript of the gene named ROP interactive partner 5, with no coding region annotated. The record is from RefSeq and is a predicted model, not a curated record. NCBI's taxonomy places the organism in Eukaryota, Viridiplantae, Streptophyta, Magnoliopsida, Ericales, Theaceae.
AAUAGCAUACACUGCUUUUGAAUUUCGUGGCCAGGAAAGUUGUUAAAUAUGCAGACUCCAAAGGCAAGGUAACUUCAAUGGCUCUGAUGGGUGUUCCCUUCCAUUUAUAGAAUGCUUGGCAAGUUGCUUGGUGGAAUUUAUGGCAGAACGAACCUGACGGAAGCACCUCAAAAGAUCUCUCCUCGGGCAGUACGGAAACUCAAGCCAACUACAUUAGAGACAGCUCCUGCAUCAUCUUCAAAUCUAGCAAGUCGGACACCAAAAGAGCAGAGCCCUAAAGUCAAUGAGCAUAGAUCACCCAGAAGCCCAGCAUCUGAGCUCCAGAAGAAGCGUCCAAACAGAAUUUCUGUAUUGGAAUCUCAGAUUUCCCAACUUCAGGGAGAUCUGAAGAAGGUGAAAGACGAGCUAAGUUCUUCAGAGUCAUGGAAAACGAGAGCUCAGCAAGACGCAGAGGACUCAAAAAAGCAGCUAUUAGCCAUGUCUUCAAAGCUCAAUGAGUCUCAGAAGCGACUUUUGGAGCUAUCUUCUUCUGAGGAAACCCGUGUCAUUGAGCUCCAAAAGAUCUCUGAAGAUCGUGAUCGGGAAUACAAAUCUGAACUUGAGGCCAUCCAGAAUCAGCACUUGAUUGAAUCAGCUGCAUUAGCCUCGGCUGUGAAUGAGAUUCAGCAGCUAAAAGCCCAGCUUGAAAUGGUAGCUGAAUCUGAGGCUGCACAAACGAAGAAUGUACAAUCAGCCAAUGCAGAGCUACUGAGCGUGAAAGAAAACCUAGCAGAAACACUUUCUCUUGUGGAGGACAUGAAAAACCAGUUGAGGGAUUCCAAAGAAUCGGAAGCUCAGGCCCAAGAGCUUGUUGGUGGGACUUUGUUGCAACUUGAAACUGCCAAAAAAACUGUUGAGACCCUCAGGUUGGAUGGUACUAAAGCCAAGGAAGCUUAUGAAUCCAUAGCUUUGGAGUUGGAUCAAUCGAGGGCAUGUGUGAAAUCACUAGAAGGGUUUGUUUCCAAACUUAAGGCGGACAUCAUUAACAAUGGAAGCAAUAGUUCAAAAAAUCUCGGUGCUGAUUACAAGCUAGAAUGUGAUAUCAAUGGAAAUAUUUGCAAAUCAAUGCGGCUUGAAACAGAGCUUAGUUCUGCUAAGGCUGAGCAAGGACUGUUAAGAACUGCACUAGAAACUGCUGAGAUCAGAUUCCAAGAAGAACAUAUUCGAAACACACUACAGAUCAGAAGCGCUAAUGAAUUGGUGGAGCAGAUUAAGUCUGCAUCGAGUCUGAGAGAGGCUGAACUCGAGGCUGAACUAGGUAAAACAAAAGCUGACAUCGAAGAAUUGAAGGCGAAUUUGAUGGAUAAGGAAACUGAAUUGCAAGGUAUCUCAGAGGAGAAUGAGGGGCUGCAUAUGAAGCUUGAGAAGAGCUUACCGAGCCAGAGAGAAUAUGAACUGGAAAAGGAACUAAAGAAAUCAAAAGACAACAUUGAACAUUUGAAGGCGAAUUUGAUGGAUAAGGAAACGGAAUUGCAAAAUAUAUCAGAGGAAAAUGAGAUGUUGAAGUCGGAAAUGAAGGGAAGAGAAAUGGGGAAAAUGAACGCUGAGGUUGUUGCUGAAAUAGAGGCAGCAAGGGCUGCAGAGCAGGAAGCGAAUAUGAAGCUUGGAUAUAUGACAGAGGAAGCAGAUAAGAAUAAUAGGAGGGCUGUGAGGGUGGCUGAGCAGUUGGAGGCAGUCCAGGCGGCCAGUUGUGAAAUGGAGGCAGAGUUAAGGAGGCUAAAAGUGCAAUCUGACCAGUGGAGGAAGGCUGCAGAGGCAGCUGCAGCCAUGCUUUCAACAGGUAACAAUGGGAAGUUUAUGGAAAGAACAGGAUCAUUGGACAGCAGCUACAAUCCUGCAACGGGGAAGAUUGGUUCCCCUGAUUCUGACGACGUUGUUGAUGAUUUUAUGAAGAAGAAAAAUGGGAAUGUGCUGAGGAAGAUUGGGGUUUUGUGGAAGAAGCCGCAGAAAUAGAAUCAUGAGAAAGAAAACAUUGUGUGCUCAACGGGGAAAAGAAAAGAAGAGAAGCCUAUUUGGAUGAAAAAUGCUUUUACUUUUUAAAGGUGCUGCUGCGUGGCAAAAGCCGGGACAUUUUUUGAGAAGAUGUGUGUGCAUGUUUAGUGGCACUCCUGCAAUGUUCUCAGUGGUAAUUUGCUUAGCUUCGUGGUGAUUACAAAGCUUGGUUGCUCAUAUUAUAAUGCCAGUUUGUCUAUGGUUUGAUCAUUUGUAGAUUCACUGUAGGGUAAAUAAUUAUGAACUCAAGAAAAAAAAAAAAAACUAUGUUACUGUGGAAUUCACUGGUUGGUUGCACUUUAAUGUGGUAUGUGAUUUGGGAUUUAUUUUGGUAAAUCAUGCUUUGAGAGUUGCUUUGGA